This 29-nucleotide non-coding RNA is filed under the name Rattus norvegicus (Norway rat). The record is from RNAcentral. Lineage: Eukaryota; Metazoa; Chordata; Mammalia; Rodentia; Muridae.
UCAAAAGUUUGAUUCUACUGGUUCAUGGU